RNAcentral lists this ribosomal RNA (492 nucleotides) under uncultured bacterium. RNAcentral describes it as "partial 16S ribosomal RNA". It matches the Rfam family "Bacterial small subunit ribosomal RNA", at positions 29 to 507 of the family's 1533-position model. The record is from RNAcentral.
AGUGAACGCUGGCGGUAGGCCUAACACAUGCAAGUCGAACGGCAGCACAGUAAGAGCUUGCUCUUACGGGUGGCGAGUGGCGGACGGGUGAGGAAUACAUCGGAAUCUACUUUUUCGUGGGGGAUAACGUAGGGAAACUUACGCUAAUACCGCAUACGACCUACGGGUGAAAGCAGGGGAUCUUCGGACCUUGCGCGAUUGAAUGAGCCGAUGUCGGAUUAGCUAGUUGGCGGGGUAAGGGCCCACCAAGGCGACGAUCCGUAGCUGGUCUGAGAGGAUGAUCAGCCACACUGGAACUGAGACACGGUACAGACUCCUACGGGAGGCAGCAGUGGGGAAUAUUGGACAAUGGGCGCAAGCCUGAUCCAGCCAUACCGCGUGGGUGAAGAAGGCCUUCGGGUUGUAAAGCCCUUUUGUUGGGAAAGAAAAGCAGCAGGUUAAUACCCCGCUGUUCUGACGGUACCCAAAGAAUAAGCACCGGCUAACUUCGUG